GUUCCGAUUCACACAAUACCUUAGAAACUGACAAAUGUAAAAGUUAGGUCUGGUCAAUUAAAUUUGAACAUAAGGUCGCAAGUAUACGAACCCUGACCAACAGACAGACAUAGACAUCUUACUAUCAUUCAAUAUAUCAAAUACAAUUGACGUCAUAUAUGAAACAUGCAAACAGAUGUGUACACCAUACACUAAAUACCGUGGCGC
This 207-nucleotide long non-coding RNA is filed under the name Mytilus galloprovincialis (Mediterranean mussel). The record is from RNAcentral. Lineage: Eukaryota; Metazoa; Mollusca; Bivalvia; Mytilida; Mytilidae.